RNAcentral lists this ribosomal RNA (388 nucleotides) under uncultured bacterium. RNAcentral describes it as "bacterial SSU rRNA". It matches the Rfam family "Bacterial small subunit ribosomal RNA", at positions 355 to 740 of the family's 1533-position model. The record is from RNAcentral.
UGAGGAAUAUUGGGCAAUGCCCGCAAGGGUGACCCAGCAACGCCGCGUGGAGGAUGAAUGUCGUAAGAUUGUAAACCCCUGUUAGAGGGGAAGAAUAGUACCGGUUGGACCGGUAUAUGACUGUACCCUCAGAGAAAGCACCGGCUAACUACGUGCCAGCAGCCGCGGUAAUACGUAGGGGGCAAGCGUUGUCCGGAUUUACUGGGUGUAAAGGGCGCGCAGGCGGCAUAAAAAGUCAGUGGUGAAAUCCUACAGCUUAACUGUAGAACUACCUUUGAUACUUUUAUUUUUGAGUUCGGGAGAGAGAGACGGAAUUCCAGGUGUAGUGGUGAAAUACGUAGAUAUCUGGAAGAACACCAGUUGCGAAGGCGGUCUCUUGGUCCGACAC